Lolium perenne is the source of this 377-nucleotide long non-coding RNA. RefSeq lists it as uncharacterized. Lineage: Eukaryota; Viridiplantae; Streptophyta; Magnoliopsida; Poales; Poaceae. The record is from RefSeq and is a predicted model, not a curated record.
UCUUGGGUUCGUUGACCCAUAUACCGUGAAUGGGUAUACUGUCGACAACUCUCCCAAGGACACGGAGAAUAACUUGGUACAUGUCUUAAGGAAAAACUCAUACAAAAGGGCAAUACUAUUUCCUUACAACUUCGCGUUUCACUAUAUCCUGCUAGUCAUUGAACCCGACACCGGGAUAGUAGAAGUCAUGGACUCGAAGAGUAAACCCCUUGAGGCGUGGGGGGACAUGGCUGAUAUCCUCCACAAGGCUUGGAAACGGUUCACCAACAAAGCUCCGGGUUUAAAGAAUAAAGAACUUCGAAUAAAACAUGUACCGUGCUUGAGGCAAGAGGACGGGAAUAAUUUAUGCGGGUUCUACGUUUGCGAGUUCAUCCGCC